This 358-nucleotide RNase P RNA is filed under the name uncultured Mycobacterium sp. RNAcentral describes it as "RNaseP_bact_a". It matches the Rfam family "Bacterial RNase P class A", at positions 43 to 351 of the family's 367-position model. Rfam says of the family: Ribonuclease P (RNase P) is a ubiquitous endoribonuclease, found in archaea, bacteria and eukarya as well as chloroplasts and mitochondria. Its best characterised activity is the generation of mature 5'-ends of tRNAs by cleaving the 5'-leader elements of precursor-tRNAs. Cellular RNase Ps are ribonucleoproteins. Lineage: Bacteria; Bacillati; Actinomycetota; Actinomycetes; Mycobacteriales; Mycobacteriaceae. The record is from RNAcentral.
GAGGAAAGUCCGGACUUCACAGAGCAGGGUGAUUGCUAACGGCAAUCCGAGGUGACUCGCGGGACAGUGCCACAGAAAAGAGACCGCCACCCACGCCUGAUAUUUGGGCCGCGGUGGUAAGGGUGAAACGGUGCGGUAAGAGCGCACCAGCAUUCCGGGUGACCGGGAUGGCUUGGUAAACCCCACCCGAAGCAAGGCCAAGAGGCCGCACCUGGUGCGGCUGCGCAGGCGUUCGAGGGCUGCUCGCCCGAGCCUGUGGGUAGGCCGCUCGAGGCACCCGGCGACGGUGUGCCCAGAUGGAUGGUCGCCGCCGCUCUGCCACGGUCAGCCGGGGCGGGGCGGGACAGAAUCCGGCUUA